UAUUUUUUUUAGGUUUUGAUUUUUGUUACGUCUUCCUGCAAAAAUCAAAACCUAGAGAAAAUA
Molecule: microRNA precursor, 63 nt
Filed under: Apaloderma vittatum (bar-tailed trogon)
Lineage: Eukaryota; Metazoa; Chordata; Aves; Trogoniformes; Trogonidae
Description: mir-737 microRNA precursor family
Rfam family: mir-737 microRNA precursor family
Source: Rfam by way of RNAcentral